RNAcentral lists this long non-coding RNA (1258 nucleotides) under Anas zonorhyncha (Eastern spot-billed duck). Its description in RNAcentral is "lncRNA (ENSAZOG00000005889.1)". Lineage: Eukaryota; Metazoa; Chordata; Aves; Anseriformes; Anatidae. The record is from RNAcentral.
AUGAGGCAGAGGUCUAGAGCCGGACUGACAGGAAGCCUGGCUGUGUUACUGGUGCAGUCACCUGGGUUUAAGAGCAGCGUACUGCUGCUGCAUCUGAAGGAGAUCAGUAAGAGACACCAUCACGGACCUGCACACAGUUCCUGCAGCUGCUGUGAUGCUUCUCAGGAGUGGAGAUCCCCUGCAGUACCGGGGUCUAUCUGCACAGCCACCAAGGCUGUCUGUGAUUUGGGGAAACUAAGCAAUGCUGAAAAGGCUGAACCUGUCAUGCUGAAAGGGAUGAAAAGGCCCCGGCAGACCAGGAACCCUGCCAUACAUGAUGAGACAAUACUUGUUCAAUUAAGCAUCUUAUGCCUGUGUGUAUCUCUUAAUAUGCAAAAUCCCUGGCUCACCGUUAGCCUCUGCACACACUACCUGUCUUAAAAACCCUCAGACUGAGGGGUGGCCCUUCUGCUGGGGUCCACUUCUUCCUGGGCACUGGGGGUAACUUCAGCAAUUCUUUGAGUUAUUUUCUUCGCAGAAAACACAUGGAACAGAUGGGCAUAGGCCAGCAUCAAGGCUGGUGCCGCAGUCACAGAAAAGGAUGUGCCCUGCCCUUGUGAGAUAAACCUUCCCCCACCUCACAUAAAAUAAACAGUUGAGCUUCCAUUGCCCAAAGCUAGCUAUUAACAAGCCUGUUGUUUUGCAGUAGUACGUACAUGGAUAGGUAGGUAGAAAUAGCACAAUACCAAAGAAACUAUCCUCCAUAAAUUAUAGUGGCUUCUUCUGAAUUCUUGUUAAUGCUUACUUUAAACCUUGAUGUCUAACUCUUCUUGAACAUUCUUGUCCAGAGUAAUUAAUUUAUGCUUUGUUCUGAAAGCGUAUCAGUAAACGGGCAUCAAUGCUGAUAGCCAUUUAUUGCUCCAGCAGUGAGGUUAAACAGCUUGUGCUUUUAACUGCAUGGUACAAAAGAUAUAAAACUAUUUGCUUGAGAUAUUAAUCCAGGAUGACCUGAUGUAAAGUGACAGUAAAAGUGGCUUUCCCAAAGAUGUGAAAUAUAUGCUCUGCUCACUACCUCCUGCUGACUCUCUGCUCCAAGUGAAUAAACAUUCAGCUGAAUUCUCCCACCCAGGUGUGAUCCAGCAAUGAACUGGCAGCGCAUCCUUUUGUCUGCUAAUGCCAAUUCUAACUCACAGGAGCAGCCUACCACCGGCUCUGCAGCCAAAAUGCUUUCUCAAUUUUCUCAAGAAUCAACACAGAAAAUACCACAAGAACAUAAAAU